Long non-coding RNA from Tupaia belangeri chinensis (Chinese tree shrew), 2164 nucleotides. RefSeq lists it as uncharacterized. The record is from RefSeq and is a predicted model, not a curated record. Lineage: Eukaryota; Metazoa; Chordata; Mammalia; Scandentia; Tupaiidae. The transcript is spliced from 4 exons.
GAGCGGCGCCGCGCUCACGGCGCACCCCAAGCUGCCUGCGGCGGGCGCUGUCCGAGGUGCCGAACUCCGCGGUCGCAGGGUGCGCAGGUCCUUCGCUGCCAGUGUCGGGGGUCGGGCGAAACCAGGGCGUCACCAAGUUACUCUGACCUGUAGAUAUGAAGAUUUUGGUCCUAAAGAUUUUAUGACUCCUUGCUAUGCGAAUUAAUUAGAUGAAAAAGCAAUUUUCACAGCCCAGGACACACAGAUAAUGUAGGAGCUUUUUCACAGACACCUAAAGGAGCAGUCGGGGAGGGAGAAGUCAGGUAUUUCCUACUGUCUGCUGCAGCUGUGGAGCAUCUUACAUCCCGCGGUUCCAAACAAGCCUCCCUAGCCUUCUCUGGGUGGUACACGGCUUCCUUCUGCCUUAAAGACCACUAGUUUUUGCCUGGAUCUGACUGCUCCCUACAAAGAAAGAAGGAAGGAAGAAAGGAAGGGCAAGAAAGAAGACUGAUGGCCUUGUGCAUACACCUGCCAUCCGGGGCCGGUGCUGAGGUUCCCAGGCCUAUGGGGGUGCUGGCCAGUGAGGGCCCCUCCAGCAAGGCUGCAGUCACUCUCUGCAAUGCUUGACUUGUGUCACUCCUUCUCCUCCUGGAAGGCUACCAGAGAGGAAAGGACCAGAGUUUCUGGCCAAGGCCGCUGGGGUGUACGUCUCGUCUCAGGCAUCCUGUCUGAGGGUGGUCGUGGGCCGCUCACUCGUCCUCUUACGCCUCAGCAGCCCCUUCCAUGAAGUGGGGAUGACUACGGGUUCAAUAAGAGGUGUCUAGAGGAACUGCCUCCUCUGCCUCCAUCUCUGUGCCCUGACUCGCGUCUUGCUCGGGAAGCCUCGCUCAUCCCAUCUCUCAGAGACGCCUCGUUGGCUGAUGCUCUCCAUUGGCCACGUAUUCACUUGGUCUUUCGUUCAACAACUGUGAACCAAGUGUCUGCCUUCAGGGCGUGGUGCUUGGUGCUGGGGAUAAAGGAGAAGAGACUCCCAGCCCCUGCCCUCGAGGAGGCACAGGCAGGGAUGGAACUGCCAUAGACAGAGGUGAGCCUGAGCUCGUGGGCACGCAUGCGCCCUCACCUCGGCCUGGGAAGGCAGGUGCAAGAGCUGGUUCUGCAGGGCGUCCAGGGUCUGGGGAUGCGCACCAUCACAGCGACAUCAGCACUGAGAAAGCCUAAGUGAUACGUCUGUUCCCAGACUUCGCUGACAUCCCUAGAAUGCCAAGAGGAGUCAGAGACAAAGCAGAGGUGCGGAAGUAUGGGGGAGGGGCCAUGGCAUGACCACGUGAUUGAAGACGUCAACCGGAUGCUGACACUGGGAUGUGCAGGGAUGAAAAAGCACAGAGAACUCGCAGCUCUGUCUCUGUUGGUAGAAGGUAAGGACUUAAUACAGGUCAUUUUGGGCCUGGUACCUGGGGGACUGAGUGAGAUGACAGGGCAGCCGGCGUCUUGAACACUGUCAGAGAGGACACAUCUUUCCCACUGGUUCUCAUGCUGCCAUGGUGACAGUCAGUUAAAAAUAGUUUAGUCAUAAGUUAAGGAGCCAAGUGCACACUGGUGUCCGCAAGCUCCCCGAAGUCUGGAUGGACCAGCAGCAGGGCCCAUUCCAUGCCAGCAGAGGGGGCUUCUCAUGCCAGGGGUGUACCACAUCCUGGGGGUGGAGUAUUUUCUUAUGGCAGCAGCCUGGACUGACAGACGGGGCACAGCCUGCAAAGUGCUGUAAGCAAGUGUAGGAAGCCGGACGACUGCAGCAGCCUCCUCACUGCCCCACUGCCUCCCUGGUCCUCUACACAGCCCUCACCCAGAGCCACUGCCUCAAGGCAUGUACCACCUGUGUUCAUUCAUCAUUCAUUUAUCCCAUGAGCAUGCUCACGCGCAAGAGAGAGAGAGCACCUCCUAAAUUUGUUUAUUCCAUGAGCGAACUCAUGCGCAAGGGAGUGUACCCCCAACUGGGUUCCCAAGCCACAGUCCACCCCAGCUUUGGCCACCCCAGAUCAUGGACCCAUGUAUGCCUAGUAUACUCAGAGAAAUCUCCAGGUGAACCAGGAACUUUCUUAUAUCGAAUUGCAUCAUAAAGAAUCCCUUCUUUCCUUGAGAGAGAUUUUUGCUACAGGGUGUGUGCACUCACUGGAGACACAGAGAGAGA